Molecule: ribosomal RNA, 1934 nt
Filed under: metagenome
Description: bacterial LSU rRNA
Rfam family: Bacterial large subunit ribosomal RNA
Source: RNAcentral
GAGCGAACCCGGAGAACUGAAACAUCUAAGUACCCGGAGGAAAAGAAAUCAACCGAGAUUCCCUGAGUAGCGGCGAGCGAAAGGGGAGCAGCCUGCAAGUAAUAGCAGAAGUGUUAGUGGAACAGUCUGGAAAGUCUGGCAAUAAAGGGUGAUAGCCCCGUACACGAAAACUCAUCUGUGGUACUAAGCUUGCGAAAAGUAGGUCGGGACACGUGUUAUCUUGACUGAACAUGGGGGGACCAUCCUCCAAGGCUAAAUACUACCAACUGACCGAUAGUGAACUAGUACCGUGAGGGAAAGGUUAAAAGAACCCCGGAGAGGGGAGUGAAAUAGAUCCUGAAACCGUAUGCGUACAAGCAGUAGGAGCAGACUUGUUCUGUGACUGCGUACCUUUUGUAUAAUGGGUCAGCGACUUAUUUUCAGUGGCAAGGUUAACCGUAUAGGGGAGCCGUAGGGAAACCGAGUCUUAAUAGGGCGUCUUAGUCGCUGGGAAUAGACCCGAAACCGGGCGAUCUAUCCAUGGCCAGGUUGAAGGUUGAGUAACAUCAACUGGAGGACCGAACCCACUAAUGUUGAAAAAUUAGGGGAUGAGCUGUGGAUCGGAGUGAAAGGCUAAUCAAGCCCGGAGAUAGCUGGUUCUCCUCGAAAGCUAUUUAGGUAGCGCCUCAUGUCUCACCACUGGGGGUAGAGCACUGUUUCGGCUAGGGGGUCAUACCGACUUACCAACCCGAUGCAAACUCCGAAUACCAGUGAGUGCAAUCAUGGGAGACACACGGCGGGUGCUAACGUCCGUCGUGGAGAGGGAAACAACCCAGACCGCCAGCUAAGGUCCCAAAUAUCAGUUAAGUGGGAAACGAUGUGGGAAGGCUCAGACAGCUAGGAGGUUGGCUUAGAAGCAGCCAUCCUUUAAAGAAAGCGUAAUAGCUCACUAGUCGAGUCGGCCUGCGCGGAAGAUUUAACGGGGCUAAACUGAUAACCGAAGCUGCGGACGCAUACUUGUAUGCGUGGUAGAGGAGCGUUCUGUAAGCCGUUGAAGGUGCAUUGUAAGGUGUGCUGGAGGUAUCAGAAGUGCGAAUGCUGACGUGAGUAACGAUAAAGCGGGUGAAAAACCCGCUCGCCGGAAGAUCAAGGUUUCCUGUCCAACGCUAAUCGGGACAGGGUUAGUCGGUACCUAAGGCGAGGCCGAAAGGCGUAGUCGAUGGAAAACAGGUUAAUAUUCCUGUACCGCUAUAUACUGCGAUGGGGGGACGGAGAAGGCUAGGUGAUCAGGGCGUUGGUUGUCCCUGUACAAGCUUGUAGGGAGAUCUCUUAGGUAAAUCCGGGAGAUCAUUAUCCUGAGGAGUGAUGUCGAGCUCAAUUGCGAGCGAAGUCAUUGAUGCCAUGCUUCCAAGAAAAGCCUCUAAGCUUCAGGUAUAUAGAGACCGUACUCUAAACCGACACAGGUGAUCAGGUAGAGAAUACCAAGGCGCUUGAGAGAACUAUGGUGAAGGAACUAGGCAAAAUGGUGCCGUAACUUCGGGAGAAGGCACGCCGAUUUUGGUGAUGGGAUUUACUCCCUAAGCUGAGGUUGGCCGCAGAGACCAGGCCCCUGCGACUGUUUAUCUAAAACACAGCACUCUGCAAACUCGUAAGAGGAAGUAUAGGGUGUGACGCCUGCCCGGUGCCGGAAGGUUAAUUGAUGGGGUUAGCUUCGGCGAAGCUCUUGAUCGAAGCCCCGGUAAACGGCGGCCGUAACUAUAACGGUCCUAAGGUAGCGAAAUUCCUUGUCGGGUAAGUUCCGACCUGCACGAAUGGCGUAACGACGGGGGCGCUGUCUCCACCAUAGACUCAGUGAAAUCGAAAUCGCGGUGAAGAUGCCGUGUUCCCGCGGCUAGACGGAAAGACCCCGUGAACCUUUACUAUAGCUUGGCACUGAACUUUGAACCUAUCUGUGU